CCCUGCUGACCUACUUCCUUAUGAAAUAAUGCAGCAAUUAGCUGGUCAUGCCGAUCACGCUGGAACUAACAAAGAGUGCCGUCUGUUGCUGUACAUAAAAUACUCUUGGUAUCAGUCCUUCAUGGCAUUGUGGACUCAAGGUGCUGGUUCUGAGGGCAGCGGGGCGACAGCCAGCAAUGCAAACGGCCAUGAAGCGGCAGAGCAAGAAUAAACCAGAACCUGGAAGGACAAGCUGGGACCUGGGUCUGUUUCUCGCUGUCUUCAAGGCCUCACACGGAUGAUAAACUGAACAUCUGAACAUGGAACAAUGGAUGACCGUAUGACCUGAGCUGUAUAACCUAUUUUCC
This is a long non-coding RNA of Manis javanica (Malayan pangolin), 347 nucleotides long. RefSeq lists it as uncharacterized. The record is from RefSeq and is a predicted model, not a curated record. Lineage: Eukaryota; Metazoa; Chordata; Mammalia; Pholidota; Manidae.